RNAcentral lists this ribosomal RNA (253 nucleotides) under uncultured bacterium. Its description in RNAcentral is "partial 16S ribosomal RNA". It matches the Rfam family "Bacterial small subunit ribosomal RNA", at positions 524 to 776 of the family's 1533-position model. The record is from RNAcentral.
UACGUAGGGCGCAAGCGUUGUCCGGAAUUAUUGGGCGUAAAGAGCUCGUAGGCGGUCUGUUACGUCCGCUGUGAAAACCCAGGGCUUAACCCUGGGCUUGCAGUGGAUACGGGUAGACUAGAGGCAGGUAGGGGAGAAUGGAAUUCCCGGUGUAGCGGUGAAAUGCGCAGAUAUCGGGAGGAACACCGGUGGCGAAGGCGGUUCUCUGGGCCUGACCUGACGCCGAGGAGCGAAAGCGUGGGGAGCGAACAGG